UGAGAUAUGUCUUAGUGAAGAGUGCUUGUCUUGUAUUACAAGGCCCUGGGUUCAAUCCCCAAUAUCACAA
This 70-nucleotide transfer RNA is filed under the name Cavia porcellus (domestic guinea pig). It matches the Rfam family "tRNA". From Rfam's summary of the family: Transfer RNA (tRNA) molecules are approximately 80 nucleotides in length. The record is from Rfam by way of RNAcentral. Lineage: Eukaryota; Metazoa; Chordata; Mammalia; Rodentia; Caviidae.